This 434-nucleotide ribosomal RNA is filed under the name uncultured bacterium. Its description in RNAcentral is "partial 16S ribosomal RNA". It matches the Rfam family "Bacterial small subunit ribosomal RNA", at positions 29 to 507 of the family's 1533-position model. The record is from RNAcentral.
AGCGAACGCUGGCGGCAGGCCUAACACAUGCAAGUCGAACGAACCUUUCGGGGUUAGUGGCGGACGGGUGAGUAACACGUGGGAACGUGCCUUUAGGUUCGGAGUAACUCAGGGAAACUUGUGCUAAUACCGAAUGUGCCCUUCGGGGGAAAGAUUUAUCGCCUUUAGAGCGGCCCGCGUCUGAUUAGCUAGUUGGUUGAGGUAAUGGCUCACCAAGGCGACGAUCAGUAGCUGGUCUGAGAGGAUGAUCAGCCACAUUGGGACUGAGACACGGCCCAAACUCCUACGGGAGGCAGCAGUGGGGAAUCUUGCGCAAUGGGCGAAAGCCUGACGCAGCCAUGCCGCGUGAAUGAUGAAGGUCUUAGGAUUGUAAAAUUCUUUCUCCGGGGACGAUAAUGACGGUACCCGGAGAAGAAGCCCCGGCUAACUUCGUG